GUUAGGAAUAUUGGACAAUGGGCGAAAGCCUGAUCCAGCCAUGCCGCGUGAACGAUGAAGGCCUUCGGGUUGUAAAGUUCUUUAGCCGAUGAUUAUAAUGACUGUAGUCGGAAAAUAAGCCCCGGCUAACUUCGUGCCAGCAGCCGCGGUAAUACGAAGGGGGCGAGCGUUAUUCGGAAUCACUGGGCGUAAAGCGUGCGUAGGCGGUCUCGUAAGUUAGGAGUGAAAGCCCAGGGCUCAACCUUGGAAUUGCUCUUAAAACUGCAAGGCUAGAAUCUCGGAGAGGAUAGCGGAAUUUCCAGUGUAGCAGUGAAAUGCGUAGAUAUUGGAAGGAACUCCAGUGGCGUAAGCGGCUAUCUGGACGAGUAUUGACGCUGAGGCACGAAAGCGUGGGGAUCAAACAGGAUUAGAAACCCUUGUAGUCC
RNAcentral lists this ribosomal RNA (425 nucleotides) under uncultured bacterium. RNAcentral's name for it is "partial 16S ribosomal RNA". It matches the Rfam family "Bacterial small subunit ribosomal RNA", at positions 354 to 796 of the family's 1533-position model. The record is from RNAcentral.